RNAcentral lists this ribosomal RNA (428 nucleotides) under Pseudomonadota bacterium. Its description in RNAcentral is "Proteobacteria bacterium partial 16S ribosomal RNA". It matches the Rfam family "Bacterial small subunit ribosomal RNA", at positions 355 to 776 of the family's 1533-position model. Lineage: Bacteria; Pseudomonadati; Pseudomonadota. The record is from RNAcentral.
UGGGGAAUAUUGGACAAUGGGCGAAAGCCUGAUCCAGCCAUGCCGCGUGUGUGAAGAAGGUCUUCGGAUUGUAAAGCACUUUAAGUUGGGAGGAAGGGCAGUAAGCGAAUACCUUGCUGUUUUGACGUUACCGACAGAAUAAGCACCGGCUAACCUGUGCCAGCAGCCGCGGUAAUACAGAGGGUGCAAGCGUUAAUCGGAAUUACUGGGCGUAAAGCGCGCGUAGGUGGUUCGUUAAGUUGAAUGUGAAAGCCCCGGGCUCAACCUGGGAACUGCAUCCAAAACUGGCGAGCUAGAGUAGGGCAGAGGGUGGUGGAAUUUCCUGUGUAGCGGUGAAAUGCGUAGAUAUAGGAAGGAACACCAGUGGCGAAGGCGACCACCUGGGCUCAUACUGACACUGAGGUGCGAAAGCGUGGGGAGCAAACAGG